GACGAACGCUGGCGGCGUGCUUAACACAUGCAAGUCGAACGGAAAGACCCUGCUUUUGUGGGGUGCUCGAGUGGCGAACGGGUGAGUAACACGUGAGUAACCUGCCCUUGACUUUGGGAUAACUUCAGGAAACUGGGGAUAAUACCGGAUAGGAGCUCCUGCUGCAUGGUGGGGGUUGGAAAGUUUCGGCGGUUGGGGAUGGACUCGCGGCUUAUCAGCUUGUUGGUGGGGUAGUGGCUUACCAAGGCUUUGACGGGUAGCCGGCCUGAGAGGGUGACCGGCCACAUGAGGACUGAGAUACGGCCCAGACUCCUACGGGAGGCAGCAGUGGGGAAUAUUGCACAAUGGGCGGAAGCCUGAUGCAGCAACGCCGCGUGCGGGAUGACGGCCUUCGGGUUGUAAACCGCUUUCGCCUGUGACGAAGCGUUAGUGACGGUAAUGGGUAAAGAAGCACCGGCUAACUACGUG
This 468-nucleotide ribosomal RNA is filed under the name uncultured bacterium. RNAcentral's name for it is "partial 16S ribosomal RNA". It matches the Rfam family "Bacterial small subunit ribosomal RNA", at positions 28 to 507 of the family's 1533-position model. The record is from RNAcentral.